Molecule: long non-coding RNA, 43438 nt
Filed under: Nicotiana tabacum (common tobacco)
Lineage: Eukaryota; Viridiplantae; Streptophyta; Magnoliopsida; Solanales; Solanaceae
Description: long non-coding RNA (NTAB_LNC008307)
Source: RNAcentral
CGCGCCUAGCGUUCAAUUAAAAUAAAUAAGUUAUCAAAAAAAGAUUAAAAGAUCACUUUUAUUGGAUAUUGAAAGAAACCUGAUUGUUAAUCAUUUGGGCCAGCUAAUGGUUCCCUUAAAAAUGGGCCAAUUGAAAUACUCAAUCAGUUUUACAUGAUAUGGGCUUUAUUAGCCAACAGACUGCUGAGAUUUAAUUGGCCCAACUCUCUUCUCAAUUUUUGAAUUCUAGUAACACAAACCAAAUACUUUGAGGCCCACGUCUGAUUUAGCUUUAAAAAGGGGGGAAAAACACAAUUAGCCGCCCAAAUACUUUUGGUUACACCCGUCUAGCCAUAAAUUUUGAUUCACUAUAAAUAGCCGUAAAUAUUUCCAACUGCCGUUAGCAAAUCCAAAUUAAAAAAAAAAAAUUAACCAACCAAAUUUCAAAAUAAAAACUCUUGCCAAUGCCACAAAGCUAUUAUCUCUCAUAGUUACUGAUUUAACCUUAAAUUCAAUCAAAACACUCUACCCAAAAUUCUCUGUUAUUUAAGGAUUCUUCAGAAACCACCACCACUCCAUAAGGCUUUCGCACAAAACAAGUGUUUCUAGCACAAAAAUCACUUUGCCAUUGGUGAAAUGGGUAGAAUGACGUACAAAAAUACCAUGAAAUUUGAAAACCCACGAGAAAUAAUUGGAUUUAGAGUCUCUCUCAAACUUCAAUAUCUAUCAUAAUCUGAAUCCAUUAUACACUAGCUUAUACACAUUAUACACUUAGUAUGCAGUGUAGAAUUGAUGUAUAAUUACUGCAUAAGCCGUGGAUAAUCAAUAUAUAUUUUAUACACUUAUUAUACCAAAUUAUACGCUUAAUAUGCAAAAAAAAAAAAUAAGACCCAUAGCCUCCACCUGUACACGACACUACUUCAAUAAAAAAAAAAAUGCAUCCGCUGUAAUAAUUCAUAAAUAGUAGUAACGCAUAUUUUCAGCACUCACCAUCGAGAAAAAAGAAAAAAAUCCAGUUGCAAACCAGUUGACAGUAGAUAGAGAAAGAGCAAUUGGGUUUGAGGCCGAGAAAAAAGAAAAGAAGAAAUGGGUGAAUGGGAGAAAGGGAAAUAGAGGCGAAAGAGAAAGAAAAAAAAAUAAAGAGAAGCCAUCACUUUUUUGAAGAACGAGGGAGGCGAUGCAGAGCAAGGAGGGGGGUGGGGGUGAGCGCUAGUUUUUUUUGGGGGAAAGUGGGGAUCGGAUAAAAAAAAAGUAAAAGUAGGGGUGGUAAUUGUUUAAAUCGAGUAAUAAAAAUAAAAUGAGGCUAUUAAAAGUUUAUAUCCUAAGUGGGCUGCUAGUCUAGUUAAUUGUUCUUUAAAAAAGGGAAUCUUACAUAAAUGUCUCAAAUAAAUUUCAACUUAUCAACAUCUAGCCAUUAAUCAUAUACUUACCUAAACUAGCCAAACACAUAAAAACAGCAAACCCAAAUUAAUAAGGUUCUUUCUCUCCAAAAAUCGUACGCAAAAGAUCUCCUUCCAUAUUUUUAAGCGUGAUCAGCAAUAUUAGAUGCAAGAUGAAUAAGAAUUCAUGGAUGAGGUAGCAAACAAGGGGAUGAAAUACAAAAAUAUAUUUAUACAAGAUUCAAAAAAAACUAAACAAAAAAUGACAUUUUUCAAUGGGUAUGGUUGAAAUUCAUUGAAAACAUAUAGACGAGUCAUUAUACAAAUAUUGAGGAAGAUUAGAGGUGAUUUGGAUUAUUUGGUAUCAAAAUUUGUAGUUAAAAUCGAAUUUAAAAAAUCUUUUGCGACACAUGUAUCACACACACAGGUAUACAUGGAUAUACGUGUGAUAAACAUUUGAUGCAAAUAUGAUAUAUAUGUGAUACACAAAUGAUAAACAAUAUAAUACACAAAAAAAAAUUCAUGUUUCAUCUUCUACUUCGCAUUUUCAAUUCAAACUACCUCAAAACUCCGCCAAAUCAUCCCAAAAUUGAGAUUCAAACUUUCUUAAGAUGUACUCAAUCCAUUCAAAAGAAAGCAAAACUUUAACCUUCUUUUGUUACAAAUAGCUAAUUGGCUAAUAUUGGUAAUAUUAGUAAUAUUUAAUGAAUCGGCCAAUUGUUGUAAUUAGCUACUUAUAAAUGGACAUAAUUGAUAGUUUCCUUUAAAAAAAAAACAAAUGAUCCAUAUCUCUACCUUUUAAAUGGAUAAGUAAUACUUACUACAAAACUAAAGAAAACUUUAAAAAAAAAACUAGCACCGAGCAAAACACAAUAAUAUUAAUUUUAGGCUAAUAAAUUAAAAUACAUGGAUAGAUCUCCUUUUACUUAACAAAUUGUUACUCCCCAAACUAAACCACCCAACUCAUCUGCUAAAAGAGAAAAUGCAUAUUCACUUACUAAGAUUAUAGACUUGACUAAUUAGUUCACUCCAACACUCAAAAGUCGAACUUAAUGAACUAUGCUAAAAUCUAUUAACCUUCAAACACCUCUUUUUAUAUCGUGCUUACUCUAACUAAUUUAACUUGAACAUUGGUCAAUUUUCGUUUAGCUCUAGUAUCCGAACAGUGAUGGCAUGAGCCUCCCAGAAACACCUAACAGUAGUACAUGCUUAUAAACACCUCCUCUUUCGAGAAUUAGACAAAGAAAUCAUGUCAAAGCAAUAAUGGCUAGUAUAUGAUCUUUUCCGUGACUAAACGAGAUUAACAGAGUGCUUCGACUAACAUUUAAGGAAGAAUAAAAACUUCAAGCUAUCAGUUACAUAUUCACAUACUUGAGCCAUACAUAAAAACGUUAAAGCACUUAAACAAACUCAUAAAAUGAAAUCAAGUGCAUCCCAGCAAUCUAAACAGAUUCAAAUCUUCAGUUAUUGCUAAACAAAAUCUGCAUUACAAGUUUUUAAGAGUUACCUAUAUUGUAGAAAAUCGCAAAUACAGCAAUAAGAACUGAAGGUCAGCAAAAUGAACUGUGUAAAAGGCCUACAAACAGUAACUGACCAGCAGCUUAUGAUCCAAAACUUAACCCAGAAAUUUCAGCAAAAUAAGCAAGGAAAGAACUAGUGAACUGACUUAAGAACCUUUCUUUUGGACAGUUGUUGUUCUCCGAAUACUCACUCAAAAGCCCUCAAAUUUCAGCUUAGUUUUCUUAUGUUCAACUGAUCUUUUUCUCUCUUCUAAGUUGUGUUUUUGCUUAGAGUGUGAGAUGUCUAAGUGUAGAAUGUCUUCCAGUGUGAUGGAGAGUGUCUAAUUGAGUGAGAGGAGACCCCUUUAAGUAGGAAAAACAAGCACCUUUGGACAGAUUUUGGUUGAGCAAAAAUCUAUCCAAAAGACUUACUUUUCACCAAAAAACUGUCCAAGGACUGUCCAAAUAGGAGAAAGGACAAUCUUUUACACUAAAUUCAGACACAAAAGGAGUAGUUGUACUCUUAGCAUGAUUGAAAUAGUAGAAAGAAACUACUAUGUACCUAACUGAUUAAUCCUCUAUCACCCUUCCCUCAUUCUUUCUGCUCAAUUCAAAAUCAUAUAGCCAAACAACUAAAAGACUAUACUUUACCAAUUUGAACAUAUAAGAGCCACAAAAAGACUAACAUGAUUUGCAAAAUACUUAACUAAAUCAGUCAACGAACUAUACUAAAUAGCUAACUUAAGAGAAACAAGUGCUAAUUACAUCAACUAGUUCGAAUUGAUUUAUCACGAUCAAGCAUAUAAUCAAACUACGCUACUAGUUGCAAGCUAACAGAGGUGAGCGGAAAGUACAAUAAAUGAUACAAUUAAAGCUAGAUUACGUUGUUUGAACAAAUUAACACACGAUUAAACUAAAAGCAAAAAUCAUAAACGAAUAAGAACCAAACCAAAAGAAAACGAGACACCACUUCAAUUCUACGCUAAAACUAAAAUACAAAGCAAGAACAGAAGAUAAGAUAAAAAAUAAUUUUUUUAAAAAAAAGGAAAAGGGAAUAGGGAAUACCAUAAGCUCGGUUCUGCAACGAGGCAGCCGACUCGAGCACAUUUUUCUUUGAGAUAAAAUGCCACUGUAAUUUCCUUGGCAGGCGGCCAUUGAAACUAGCAUUUUUAUCUUGAAGAAAAACGUGCCUAGGUCUAGAAGAUGGCUUCGGACAGUCGGGUCAUCUGGUAGUGAAGGUGGUGGGACGGUAGUGGUGGUCGCCGGAGUCCGACGGUAGUGGAUGGACUUUCAGGAUGAAACUAAGGGUAAAGGGUAGACCUCAAAGAGACCUACCCGUUUAUGCUUGUAUCGUAGGGUAAAGAUGGUUCAACCUUGAUGAAACUCAAAAAUAGAAGAAGGCUAGGGCUUCGGAUUUGGGUAGAUCUAUGGAGAUUUGGAGGAUAUGAGGCUUGGAUUCAUGGAGAGGAGGUUGAGAGGAAGAAGUGGUAAAAAUAUAGGGUGGUUUGUACCAACACCGGCAGCGGCUCACGGUGGUGGCAGUGGCUGAGGGAUGGCGGAGCGGCGGCGGCUCAAAGAGUGAGGAGAGAGGAGAAAGGGAGAGUAAAAGGGGAAAUGGGGGUAAAAUUGCAGGGUUUUGGGGGCUUAAAUACCGGAGUGGAGGAUUGAUUUCUAGACAUAGGAUUGGACCAAAAUGGGUGGCUGAGAUUGAAUCUCAGCCACUUAACCAAACAGCGCCAUUUUUGGCACGUCUAGUUGGGGCCUGAUGGCUGGGCGGGUUGGAAGCAAUUGGGCCACUGGUUUGGUCCGAUUUUUGGCCCAUUGUCAAUAAAAAUUCAAUUGGCCCAAUUCUCAUAACUCUAACAAAUGCAAAACUAAAAAGAAAAUCUUCUUGGUAUAUACAACUUAAAGAUGCAAACUAGAAUGCUCAAAUAAAAGAUAAAAGAAAUAUUUUUUGAUAUUUUUAUGAAAUAAAAUGCAAACAAAAAUGCACACAAGUAUGAGAAAAUCAAUUACAACGAAGUUAAGAUUGUUCUAAAAUUAUCUUCUCUUUUUAGGAGAUAAAAGGGGUGCAAAAAUUAGGUAUCCACAAAUUUAAGGUAAUCAAUUUUUUGUCUGAUAAAUCAGUUUUGUGAUCUUUGUAGAUAUUAUUCCAUCCUUGUGAGGUUCAGAAUUUCUUCCCCUUUUACUUCAGAGUGCAUUAUUCUUUUUACUCCUCCUGUGUCAAAAGUAAUAAAUUUAUACUAAAAAUUUAAGCAUCUUAACAUAAAGAGGAAUCCAUUCACAGAAAUUUGGCCUUAGUUCAUUGUCUUCGAUUUUUGAAAGUAUAUGGCGGAGGCACAAGCCGAGCUACCGAUUCGACUGAACCCAGUAGCUUUUGCUUAAACAGUGUAUUUCGUGUUUAAAAUUUAUUAAAUAUGUACAAUUAUUAAUUUAAAAUACAUUCAUCAACAUUUAAAGUCGUCAUUCUAAAAUUCAUACCAUAAGAUUGAAAUCAUGGUUCCACGGUUGUAUAUUAUAGCUAUAGUUAAUCCGUUUUCAAAAGUGCAAUCAAACACUGAUCAAUUUUUUCUUUUAUUUUAUUUAUAUAGAUUCUUUAUUCAACCAAGAAAAGCCCCUCCCCUUAUUUUCCUUCUCUUCCCAUUUCUGAGCCAAUAUGCAUUUGAAGAGGGAAAAAAGAAAAAGGAUAGGGAGGGAGGUUAAUGAAACCUAAAACAACUAACAAGAAAAGAAAAAAUUAGCUCUCUAUUUGUAUACACACACUUGACGACGACAACAACAACAACAACAAUAACAACCAUCACCCAGUAUAAUCCCACUAGUGGGGUAUGGGGAGGGUAGUGUGUACGCAGACCUUACCUCUACCCUGGGAUAGAGAGGUUGUUUUCAAUAGACCCUCGGCAUCCUUCCCUCCAAGAACUCCUACCUUGCUCUUGGGGCGACUCAAACUCACAACCUCUUGGUUGGAAGUGGAGGGCGCUUACCAUCAGAGCAACCCACCUUGUCCAACACUUGACAACAAUUGAUCGAUAAAUUUAUCUUAAGGGUGUUGUCAGACCUCUCUUUUCUUCACUUAAAAACUUUAACUCCCAAUCAUUUUCUCGUCCUAUAUAUAUGUUCUUCACCACUCUUUUCAUCAACUUCAAACACCCAUUUGCUUUUUGCACCCAAUUUCACUUUACCCCUAUUUGUUUUUCCUCUUUGAUGACCAUGACUAUGAGUUCCUAAUCUACUUCUUUCCGAAAGUACAAGGGGGUGAAUUGUAGCCUAUUAAAAAAUUCUAGUCGACUAUGGUAUGCUCUUAGUCGACUGGUGCAGAGACAGACUGCACAAUACUGUUAGUACUUUAAUUCAAUCAAAUAUUAAUCUUAACAAACAGUAAUUGCUUGUAAUAACAUAUGAAAGUAGUAAGGUAAAUGAUACCAGGAAUUUUAUACUGGUUCGGAACCAAUGUGGUAUCCUACUCCAAUCUCCUUGGGUUGCAAGGAUGUUAUCUCUUGAUCUCUUUGUGAUAUGAGUUGUGUACAACUUGUGUGAUUUUCAACGUUUACAAGGUUGGUUUUAACACGCUCACCAACAAUGACUCUUUGAAUUUCACUCGCUCACCAAAGAAACGAAUAAUGACCCAACCUCUAAGGACACACUGCCUCUCCAAUAUUUUUCAGUCUCUCUUCACUCUUUUGUGUACAUAGUAAAUCUACUAAAAGUAAAUUUCAAUGCUUGUUAAGAGUAGAACAAAAAACUUGUAGUUGGAUAGACAAUUAUGUAGAAGGCUGCGUGAAUCAAUCCUUGAGUUUUCCAGUAUUCUUAUAGCCGAUUAUUGUUGUAUAUUGGUCUUUUGAUGCCGACAGUAUGUUACUGAUAUUUGAUUUCAGAAAGGUGUCUCUAAUUCCUUCAAGAAUGAUGGGCUAGAUUAAUUAAUCCAAGGAGUGCUCUUGUUCCAUGCCGAGAUGCUCCAUAUUUGCCGAGAUGCUCCACGCUUUACUUAAGAAAUGAGCACCACUUCAAUUUGUCUCCAUUUGGUGGAGUAGAUUAAUUUAUUCAAUGAGUGCUUUAUGUUGUAUCAAAGAAAGAGACAACAAGCACCACUUCAUUUUGUCUCCAUUUGGUGGGGUAGAUUGAUUUAUUUAAGGAGUGCUUCAUGUUUUAGACAGCACUUCCAGUUGUCUCCCACUAUAUUGUGUUUUCCAUUGCUUUAGUCCUUCAUUCUUAUUUUUGCAUACUUGAGAGAUCGAUCAGUGUUGAUUGACUUUCUUUUUGAGCUUCUUGUCCUUGCCUUAAUUCCUACAAUCAGAGUAGACCACUUUAAAUCUCCCAUUUUACAUAAUCUGCAUACACAUGUAUAACAUUAGUCAAGAUUUCUUUAUGGAUAUUGAUCAUUAUUAAAAUUCUAAACUUAACAAUCUCCCCCUUUUUGAUGAUGACAAUAAUCUAAAAAGAGUUUGACUAAUUUAUGGAUACUUCCCUUUUCUUUUCAAGUGUGCUCUCUAUGUCUUUAAGCUGGUUGUUGAUUUGAAUCUGCACUUGAGAACCUGUAGCUUACCUGCAACUCUUUUUCUUUCUUCUCCCCCUUUGACAUCAAUCAAAAAAAUAAUAAUAAUACUAACUAAGCAACCAUAAAAUUUGCACAGCUAAGCAGUUAUAGCCGACUAAUGCUCACCCCAGACACAACCAAAAGAAAUAGUAUUAAACUGUCACACAAAGCAAAAAGUAUUGUCUUAAGCAUCCUACACAUUCAUUUCCUUCCAAGGAAAUAUUUCAGGGUGUUGAUCACUUUUAGUGCAGAAGCUUUCAUAAGAGGCAUCAAUGUCCUUGGUGAGGUUAGUAAUUCUUUGAUACCAGCAAUGAUGUGUUGUAUCAGUAUCAGCUUGUCUAAAGAAGAGGAUUUGUUGGCUUUAGAUUUAAGUCCCACACGGCUCUGAGUAGGGAUGACUUUUGAUGCUUUGUCCUAUUUAAGCCAAUUUUCCUCAAUUAAGGUAUACUCCAUCAUGGCAAAGGCAGUCUUGACAUAGGUGCUGGAGAUAAUCUUUGAAACAUAGAGAGAUAGGUCUACUUUCAUGACAUUCAGGAUGUGAGAAACUAAUACACUAUAAGGCAUGUUGCUCGUAGAAGAGGUCCCUGAUACUAUUAAGCACGUAUUGACGUACCCAGGCAAACCAGUUUAUAGCUUUACCAUUUACCAAACAAUACAGAACAGAUACAUCUAUGAGAGGCAAAGUACUUAGAGAACCAGUACGGGGUAACAAAGUGGUGGCAAUAAUAUGGGCUAGAACAUGAUAUUCAAACUUCAAGUUCUUAGGACCUAUAUCAGGGGGGUUUUAAACAGAAUAAUUUUUGGCCUCAUCAAAAGAUACUUCAAAAUUUUCUGGCCAGGAUGGUUGCACAAAUAAAUUGCAUCCUAUAAACUUUGUAGCAAAGACUUUUUGUUUAUAAACUGAUAAGAAUCAAGGAUGAAGCGGGUUCCUAAGAUCAUGGUUUCUAAAUUGUAUUUAUCAUUCACAAAAAAUUUGCAUAAAACAUGCGCACAUGCUCUUCAUAGACAGUGUUACCAACAAUAUCAAAUAGGGAGACAAGUUGGCAAUCCAUUGAGUACAAAGUAUAAAAGAUUGUAUUAAAGACUUAAUUGAAGUGCAUCUAAAGUAAUAGGCUAGAUAGACUAGUUACUUCCCUGAAAUGUUCCGUUUAUAUCGAGCUUAUUCUUGCAUGGCUGGUAAAGGCUCCCCCUUAUUCUAAGGAUACCAUAGUCAUGCUCCCCCUGCCUUCAUACACAUUGUCUAUAAACUUUGCAAGUAAAGUUUUAUACCAAUAUAUCUUUCUCCCUCUUUUGUCAUCAUCAAAAGGGUGGAAACAUCUUGCAGAAAUUAUGUAAGUAAGUAUUCAUUUAGUCGAAAGCGUAGUAUAAUCAUUUGAAUGAAGUGUAGCAAAAGAAACUCACGGGACACUUGAUUUUUCCAAAACAUCAUUUAGCAUAUAAGAAGGUGUAAUCGCACAGAGUUACUUGAAAAUCACUAGAUGAUUAAAAAGAUUAAGAACCUUUUGAUAACCUCAAAUGUUAAACUCUCAAAAUUUUGAACAAAAGCUUAAGACCCUUAGAAAGACUACAACGUAUUAAUGCAUAUAGGAGUCAAGAAAUGGUUAUGUGUUCAUAUUACACGACAGUCAAUUUCUUUUUACUAGUGUAGAAUAGAUCUUCAUGAAAUGACUAUUUGACUAUUUCCUUUAAUCAACUACCCUUCACACAUGAAUAAGAGAAUCAUAUUCUAAAGGAUUCACCACUCAACAAGAAAUCAUAUAAUCUUGCUUAUCUAGUCUUAGAACCAUUUUUAAGCACAUAAUAAUUCAUUAGUAACGAGUGAUUCAUCUGACAUUCAGGUCAAUUUUUCUUUUCUUAACGUGAGAAAAUAUCUGCACGCUUACAAUAGCUUCACAUGGAGAAAUAUUCACUCUUGGCUAGAUGAGCCAGUUGAACCUUACACUUAUCUUUUUCAUGGCAUGAGAAUAUUAAAGAUCUCCAAUCCAAUAUUUGUCUUUCUGUCCACUUUGUUGCAUGCAAGGUUUAUAUCGAAGAAUAUCCUACUAGAUCAACUCAAUUAGUUCUUGCAUACAAUAAGACAUAAUUUAGAAGUCAACCAAAAAUCUUUUGUGGCACUAUACCGAUAUUCUAUAGGAUCAGGUAUACCAAAAUAUCUGUUAUAAAAAUGCAAUAGAGAGUCAGUCAUACCUUGAUUCUAUAUUCGAUCGGUGGACUUACUAAUUUUCUCUUUGCUUCACAUUAUUUGGAAUGUGAGGAUAAAGGUUAAUUUUCCAUCAUGCUCAUUUCCAAACCGAUCAUCUUUCAGAGGCUUAAAGCUUGUCAUGCUUUUAGUUAGUAUUAGAUAAAUAUGCUCUUAAAUGCAUAGUUGGAGAGAAAAAUAAUUGUCAAAUGAUAAUGAUGAAAUUCUUUUAAAUGAUAACGAGUCUUGGUCACAAAAAUGUGGUCCAAAAAUGUUUAACUCCAGAGAAAGACGAGAGAGCAAGGUUAUACUAUUUUCAACACAUUAAAAAAAUAUUUCAACAUCCAUACAGAGAUAAUUUACAAACUUGUAAUGUGUACAUUAAAAAUAACAUUCUAACAAAACUCUCCAUGAAGGAACAAACCUUCUUGUUGUGAAACCUUGGGCUACAAUGUAUAUGGAAAUAAAUAAAAGUAAUUAUAGGAAACAUUAAACAUUGUUAUGAAGGAAUUGUACAAAUGCCAAUCUUGUUCUGAAGGAAAAAAAAUCUUUCCUCAAGAAAAGGUUUUGUAAUAAUAUCCGCUAAUUAUUUUUCAGUAUUCACAAAUUCUAGCACAAUAUAUUCUUUAGCAACAUGAUCGGGUAUAAAAUGAUGCUUGAUCUCAAUAUGCUUAGCCCUAGAAUGAUGCACAUAGUUUUUGAUAAAUAAAUUGCACUAGUAUUGUCACACAUAGUAGGAACAGAAUUAAGACAUAAAAAUCAUAAUCUAACAGUUGAUGCAUGAUCCAAAGUACUUGUGUGCAGCAGUUGCCUGCUGCCAAAUAUUCAGCCUCUGUGGUGGAUAAGGCCACACAACUUUGUUUCUUGUUGUGCCAGGAUAUAAGGGAUUUUUCAAGUAAUUGGCACGUUCCACUUGUGCUUUUUCUAUUAAGUUUAUAUCCCGCAAAAUUUGCAUCUAAAAAGCCUUUGAGAUUGAAAUUUUCCAAACUUUCAUAUCAUAAGCCAUAGUCGACUGUCCCUAUCAAAUAUCUGAUAAUACGUUUAACAACAGUCAAAUGAGACUCUUUAGGAGAUGAAUGAUAUCUAGAACAUUUGCAAACACUAAACAUAAUAUCUGAUCGACUAGCUGAAAGAUAGAGUAGUGAGCCAAUCAUACCUCGAUACAUUAUUUUAUCAACAUUCUUACUGUUUUUGUCUUCAUAUAAAGUAGCCGAUGGAUUCAUAGAUGUUCCUAUGACCAAUCUAAUCAACCUUCUUGUUAGAUAUCCAUGAUUGCAGCUCAUUUGCUUGAUAAUAGAUUUUUACAUUUUUUUUUUCAACUUUAUUCAGCAGAUCUUGCAUAGGUAGAAUCCAUCAUUCAUCGCUUAAUGCUUCUUCAUGUCUGUCUAGUUCCACUAGCAUGGAUGUGUUGUUAUCUUGUUUAUUGCUAGCCAUCCACUGAAAGUUCUUCAUCAUUAUUCACAAUUUUCUUAGAAAAGUAUUAGUGUGAAGAAAUCGCGCAUGUUGAGAUUUCUCUACAAUUAAAAUUCUAAAUUUCAUAAAAUUGAAAGUAGUAAUGAAUAAGCAAUAUACCAAGAGUCCUACCAAGACAGUUACAACUAAAGGGAGCAAGAUAACUAAAAAUUAAUUUUUCUUCCUUCCCGUAGCUCAGAUAAGAUCCAAAAAAAAAAUAUUAAGGCACAUAUAAGCCAAUGAUAGCAAUUUAUACAAAAAUGAUGCUUUCAAUUCUGCAUUCAAUUCAGGCGCCAAACCAAAUAUGUGAGAAAUUAUGUAUGAAAAAAAAAUGUCGAACAAAUACUAUAACUCACAUCUAUGAUCAAAUGCAUCAUUUUCUUAUUUAGGAAUAUAACCUAGGCAAAAAUAUCAAUAAAAACAUACACAUGUAUCUUCUAAACUUUUGAGUCAUAGGAAUGGUCAAGUAUCUCCACAUGUGCAUAAGUUAUUUACCUUAAAGUUAAACAACCUUCUUGAAUUUGAAAGAAGUAUUGAUACUCUUUCCAAGAGAAUGAAUAUCAAAAGUAAAUCUCCCUUUUUUAAAAAACAUUUUAACCAUAUGACGACAUAAAAAAUGUAUGUAUGCUUGUUUAUCCUAAUGUCGAUACAAAUGGCAUGGUUCAUGCAAGACAUACAUUCAUGCUAUUUAAAAUCUCUAAGUCAAGGAUAAAAAUAACACCAAAUAGAAUUAUAGAAUAAUGCAGCUAGUUGACUCAAGCAAUAUAUACUUAUUAUAUUGCACAAAAAAAUAACUAGAUACGCAUCAUUUUAUAAUUCAUCAAACGAAACUUGGAUAAACUUUAAUGAUACCAGUCACUCAAGUUUCACCAGCACGUGUAAUGGUUCCUUCAUCCUUUAUAGAGUAUGUGUAAACUUUGAAACAUCUUUAAGCAUAUUCCUGGACCAGCCGUUAUGCAAAUAUCAUUAUUCCUUUUUAUGGCUGGACUCAGAAUUCCUGCAAAAUAAAUUAAUUUGUUUUUGAUACCCAAAUCUUUUUGGGUCCUUGAGGGUUAGUAGCUGGUGUAAUUAGAGAUGCAUAUAUCUGUUUAAUUCUCCAAACAUAUUUUGAUGUGCCAUAAUAUUUUGCAUAAUUGCAUGCAAAUACUUUAUGUCCAAAAUUAUCAUAGUAAUGACAUGUAGUAUGAGAAGAAAAAUGUUUACCUGCAGCUGCCUUAUUAGUUGACUUGAAACUUCCCCCAGUCAACUUGUUUAAGGUAGGAUAUUUACCAGUAGACCCCUUUCUAGUCGACUGAAAGCGGUUAAGCCAAGGAGACGACUUUGAUCUAACAAAGUAGUGGCUGGGGGAUUUGUGCAAGUUGCUUUUUUGUUUGCGAAGCUCAAAAUUUUCUUCUUGAAGUAAGUUGUUCUUCAAUUGAUAUUCUUUAAGCUGAAUAUCCCAGUUUUUCUUUUCAUUUCUCAACUUGUUAUAUUCUUCAAGUUGAAUUUUCCAAUCUUUCUUCUCAUGUAUCAACUUGUUAUAUUCUUCAAGUUGAAUAUCCCAAUUCUUUUUCUCUUUCCUCAACUUAUUAUAUUCUUUAAGUACUUUCUCAAGGUCGUUGAGAACCAAUUCAAUAUUUUCCUACAAUUCAUCAGAUUUAUCGCAAUACGUAAUAGGAGUAGGACAUACAUUGUCAAUUUCUCCCAUUGCCAUGAAACAUAGGUUCUCCAUUCUUUCGGGAUCAUUUUCUUCCUCAUAUUUAUCCUCGCCGCUCCAAGUUGAGAUUCCACGAUUCUUCUUUUUGAGGUUAGGAUACUUUAAUUUCAUAUGUCCAGAUUUACCACAUUCGUAGAAGCAUACAUUCUCUUUUUGUUGAACCUCAUUCUUGUGGCUCUUGUGAUGAUUCUGGAUGGAUUGAGAUUUUUUAUUCUGCUUCUUUCUACUCUCUUUUUUUCUUGCCCUGGGUAUCACUGCCAAGUCUUCUCGAUCUUCACCGUUUUCAAAUUCUUCAAGAACUGACUUGGAUUCGAUUUCCUUAACUUUGUUGAUGUCUCCAUGGAUAUUUUUCAAUCUGUCCCAUAUAUCUUUAGCAGUCUCACAAGUGGAGAUAUUCUUAUAUUCUUCUUCACUAAUCGCACAAUAGAGCAUGUUGAUUGCUCUAGCGUUUGUUUGCAUAAUAUCCAGCUGCUCUCUUGUGUAGUCAAAUAUGGAUGUCCCUUUUUCAAGAUUCCUUCCAUCACUGUUGUUCGGAAUAGGUCUAGGUCUAUUCUGAAUAACUAGCCAGGCUAGAUAAUCUAUUGGUUGAACAUAAACCUUCAUUCUUUCUUUCCAAUGGCUAUAGUAUUGACUAUUGAAUUACGGUGGCCUUCUUGUUGAGUAUCCUCUUGAGAUAUGGUUUUAGUAAUUUGAUGACAUUCCAUGGAUCUUUUAUCACUUGUUGUUAAGCAAAAAAUAAAGAUGUGAGACCCGCUCUGAUACCAAUUGAAAGUACAAGGGGAGGGGGAUGAAUUGUAGCAUGUUAAAAAAUUCUAGUCGACUAUGGUAUGCUCUUAGUCGACCGAUGCAGAGAUAGACUGCACAAUACUGUUAGUACUUUGAUUCAAUCAAAUACUAAUCUUAACAAACAGUAAUUGCUUGUAAUAACAUAUGAAAGCAGUAAGGUAAAUGACACCAGGAAUUUUAUACUGGUUCGUAACCAAUGUGGUAUCCUACUCCAGUCUCCUUGGGUUGCAAGGAUGUUAUCUCUUGAUCUCUUUAUGAUAUGAUUGUAUACAGCUUGUGUGAUUUUCAACGUUCACCACCAAUUUUUACAAGGUUGGUUUUAAUACGCUCACCAACUACGACUCUUUGGUUUUCACUCGCUCACCAAAGAAACGAAUAAUGACCCAACCUCUAAGGACACACUGCCUCUCCAAUAUUUUUCAGUCUCUCUUCACUCUUUUAUGUACACAGUAAAUCUACUAAAUAUAAAUCUCAAUGCUUGUUAAGAGUAGAACAAAGAACUUGUAGGUGGAUAGACAAUUGUAUAGAAGGUUGCGUGAAUCAAUCCUUGAGUUUUCCAGUAUUCUUAUAGCCGAGUAUUGUUGUAUAUUGGUCUUUUGAUGCCGACAGUAUGUUACUGAUAUUUGAUUCCAGAAAUGUCUCUGAUUCCUUCAAGAAUGAUGAGCUAGAUUAAUUAAUCCAAGGAGUGCUCUUGUUCCAUGCCGAGAUGCUCCAUAUUUGCCGAGAUGCUCCACGCUUUACUUAAGAAAUGAGCACCACUUCAAUUUGUCUCCAUUUGGUGGAGUAGAUUAAUUUAUUCAAUGAGUGCUUUAUGUUGUAUCAAAGAAAGAGACAACAAGCACCACUUCAUUUUGUCUCUAUUUGGUGGGGUAGAUUGAUUUAUUUAAGGAGUGCUUCAUGUUUUAGACAGCACUUCCAGUUGUCUCCCACUAUAUUGUGUUUUCCAUUGCUUUAGUCCUUCAUUCUUAUUUUUGCAUACUUGAGAGAUCGAUCAGUGUUGAUUGACUUUCUUUUUGAGCUUCUUGUCCUUGCCUUCAUUCCUACAAUCAAAGUAGACCACUUUGAAUCUCCCAUUUUAUAGAAUCUGCAUACACAUGUAUAACAUUAAUCAAGACUUCUUUAUGGAUAUUGAUCAUUAUUAAAAUUAUAAACUUAACACUUUCUAUCAUAGUAACCUCUAAACCUUCACCCAUAGGAUGCUUAGUUGAAAAUAUUUUAACCUCAUUCUCCACUUUUUUCAGUUUUCCUAUAACCCCUUUUCUCCCUUCUACAUUAUUUGUGACUACAACUGAUCUUUCGGGAUUAACAUCGAGUUUUUCUAUCAACUUAUCGUAGUUUUUAGUCUUGCAAUCGACGAGAGAGAAAUCGAUGUUCUCGUAGUUAGGCAAGACAUCAACAGGGUCCCCUGUCUUGAAUUCUACCAUGUCAUUUAGCCCUGUUUCUUCAAUCACUUUCUGCGGCUUGUCCAAUUUUUGCUCCUGAAUAAUGCAGACAACUUUACCUGUCGAAAAUAAAAUUAAGUAAAUAAAAGUAUAGUUUGUCUAACGGCUUAAACUUUUAAAUGAGAUAAUCAUACAUUUCGAACAUUUACCUCCUGUUUGACGAGCAGCAGUGGCUAAGGCCACAGUUGAUGGAGAGACUUCAGAGGUGACUUCUACCAUUAAUUUGGCACUCAUCCCGGCUGCUAGUGGUGAUAUGAACUCGUUACUCUCGGGUUCUUGUGUUCCGCAAGAUUCGCAAUUCUGAUUUUUUUUGCUACACUGCAUGGAAUAAAAGGGAAAUCAAACAGUCAAUUUCAUAUUUUUUGGUAUUCAGUUAGAAAUCCAAGUAGUCGCAUAUAUGCAUUAUGCGACGAUUGUUCUCAAUGCUAGAACUAUGGCCAGGUGAACUAUUAGAAGCAAAUCACAGUAAUAAUGUUCUUUUUAGUUUACAGCGCCAGCCAUGCAGUUAUUUGAGAUGUAUUUUUCUCUGUGUGUCAAGCACAAUGCAGAAUAUAUUAAUUAAAGGUUUUAUUAAUACAUCCGAGUAUAUUAAAUUUUGUGCGUGAAUGUGAUAUCAUCUCUUUUAAUUUAAAGGCUCUGAAUUCCAAAGCUGCAUUCAUGUCUUUGGAUUAAAAUUGAUUAGGGAUGGCAAUGGGGCAGGGCAAACGUAGGGCAGGCCAGGGCGUUAAAGGGGCAGGGCGGAGCAAAAUUUAAACGGGGCAAGACAAGGUAGGGCGGGUCAAAACAUUUUUUCACAAAAUUUUAAAUAGAUAGGGCAGACAUAUAUAAGGAGUUUUAGCUUCAUUAAAAAAGUCAAAAAUUAUAAAAACUUCAAUGAAAUCUUGCAAAAUGAAAAAAAAAAUUACAAAAUGAAAGAGGGUCUAAACAGGGCAGCGCUUAAUAGGUCGGGGCAAGGCAAGGCAAGGUUGAGCAAAAACUUGAAAAAAUGCUACAUAAGGCAUGACAAGGAGGGCCAAAAGCUUAGCAUGUCACAGCUUGUCUUGCCAUGUCCUGUCGUGCCCUACGCAAUUGACAUCCCUAAAAUUGUUGUAGAGCUCCAAAGUUAAAACACCUCCCAAAAAAUCAUGCCAGGCAAAUUCCAAGAUUACUAACCUCCCCCUCUUCAAAGAAAAGGAGAAGGGUGGAAAAGAGACGAAUGUCAUUUCUUUUGUGAUUAAAAGUUGAUAAUUUGAAAAUUACUUUUUGACAAAUAUCUAUAUAUAUUGUUACCAUAUAGAAUAGUGUUAUGAUGAAUUUUUAAAAAAUUUAAAAUUGAUGAUAAUGUUUAAAUAUUGAUAUGUGCAAAUGAUAUGAAAAUAAUAGUUAAAAGAAAGUUAAAUUCCCACUUCUUAAGUGAUAUGAAGUCAUUUUCCAUUUCUGAUAAGUGAUAACCAUACAUCAUAAAUAAUUUUCUCUAAGAUUACGACUUUGAAAAUGCCGCAGAUCUAGAAGGAUCUUCUUCUGUAUAUGCCUCUUGUUCUUUAAUUUCUCCUAUUAGUUCUCUUCAUCUCAUAUGCAAUUGCAAUAAUUUCUUUUAAUCAUCCAAGUUUAUUUUGUUUGGUGGGUCAUUAUUCGCGUUAAGUAGUGAUACUGAUAAAGAAAUUAAAUGAAUCUUGAGUCUAAUUCAAUCCUAAAAAUUAGUUCAUGACAUAAAGAUCACCCAAGCCAUAUAAAAGAACUAUCCAUCCCUUUUUACCACCAAUUUGGGACUCCCAACACCCUUCGAUGACUCAGGACUAAACAUUUAGAGCGUGGACAAUAUAAUAAAGGCCCAACAUCGAAAAUUUAAGAAUGGGUUAAGUCUUCCUCGACACGAUAAAGAAAAGGAAAUCUACAUUGUAUGGCUACCAGAAAAUUCUAUUAGCCCUACUUUCCGCACGGUAACCCUAUAAUCUCUCGUAUCACAAUAUAGUUUUUUUAUAUGUAGCGUCCCAUCUUACCAAAAAGUUUUUUAUUUAUUAUACACGCCUUUCAACCGAAGUUUAUUCCUUUCCAUCCCAUUUCAAGAAUAUUUUUUUAUUUUUCAAAACCCACUUACUCGUAGUAAUUACUCACCUCUUUCUUUCUCUCUGUCCUUUUCUUCUUUUUCAUUUUUCUUUCUUCGGCUAUUUCUCUUUUUUCUUCAUUCUUCUUUCUUUUUCUAUUUCUUAUUUCAUAUAUGGAUUUCUUUCUCAUUGUUUUUGACUUCAUACUAAUUGUUUUUGACUUCAUACUUAUUAGGUCUUCUUCGGAAUCGUAAUGGUGUUCUGUGAGUGAAGAUCGUUUGAAAUGAGUAUAUACAUUGUAUCCUAAAUUUGGCAGUACAUGCAUUAUAUUCCUAACGUGUUUGUGUAUCCAGAGUGUAUAUUAAGUGUAUCACAAGUAUGUUUGGGUGUCAUAAGUGUAUAGUCUGUUAUACAAUGUAAAAAUUAUAUAUACAGCGCCUUCUAUUUCUUCUUCUUCUUCUCCUUCUUCCUUCUCUAUUUCUUCUUUUUUUUGUGGCAUGGGUAUCUAUGCUUAUGGAGUUUCCUCCUUUUCCUUUUUUUUAUUUUAUAGAUUUGAUAAAUUAAAAUUUCAAAAACAAAUGUUUCAGUUUCUAUGCAAAAGAUAAAUUUUAGAUUCAAGCGUUUUGAUAUUCGUGGGAAAUAUCUUUUUAUUUUCUUUCAGCUUUAAAUCAUAGAUUACAUUUUAUGGUUCACAACCUUUGAGUGUGUCACACCUCUUUUUUUCACCUUAACUCAUUUAAGAUAAUAAAUUAAUUUUUUAAAGUUCAAAAAGUUUUUCAAUUCAAAGUGACAAAAUUUGUAUUUCAAAGUAUUUUCAGAGUCGUCACUUGACAUUUGGUUUCGGUGUAUCAAGUCAACGUUUUUUAAAAAAAAAAAUUAUUUACCUUUAAAAUAUAUUUUGACUUUAAAACAUAAUCUGCACCAAAAAUUCUAAGUAAGGGGGUUCAUUUGACUCAAGAAGAAUGUAUUAGGCAUUCGCCAAGUCCUAUAACUAGUACUUGAUCCAAUUGGCUUUAAUGAAUACUCAAAUUGAGAUAAAACAAAUAAGAAUAAAAAAUAAACACACAAGGAAGUUCGAGGUUGUCCCACCUAAAUAAAGGCAAAGGAAGGGGGAAAAAAGAAAGAAAAAAUAUAUUAAAGGUCCUAAACUAAUCUAUACUAUGCUUCUUCCACUAUGUUCGUCAUGGCCUCCAACUAUAUACUACUGUGGGGCAUUCCUUUGGGUAAAAUAUUUUACAGAUUUUUCGGGGAUUCCCCGGAUAACAUAAUUAACUAAAAGGGACAACCUCUCGCCUCCAAAAAACAAAAAUGUCUUAGGCUUGCCUACCCAAGUGUGGUCAGCCUCAACAUGCUACUAGCGGACAAAGUAAAAAUAAAAAUAAAGUAGAACUAAAUAAGAAAAGUCUUAUCAAUGCUCAUUUCCUUUUUAAUUCUGUUUAAGUCCCAAAUCCCAUGGCCCAUAGCUAUAUCCAACAUUCAAACAGUCAUAACAAAUCUAGAUAAGAUGAACAUACAACCCAGUGAGCAUCCAAACCAACAAAAGAAAGAUAAAAUUACAAAGAAGAGCUAAGAAUAGUAAAGUAAAGAAACUGAAGUUAUCCGAACAGCCGUUUAAGGAUGUCCUACAUCACCCCAUGCCUUGGUCAAAUUCUAUCCGUUCUUAAAGUUUACUCUAACUUACAACUUUGGCUUAAUCUUUAGAAGAAACUGAUAUUAUGAGAAAGCAAUUCUUUUUUUUAUUUCACCCCCAAAUUGGAGUUAAUAAAGAAUUCGAAAAGGGCUAACGAAAACCUUUAAUCAAUCACAAUAGAAAGAACUCUAAAUAACUAAAGAGAAAUGAAAACAACAUGCUGGGAAUUUAAUUUGAGCACUCAACUCAUUCAAAUCGGGACAUUAUUUUAAUGCUAAAAAGAAAAACUUAUAAGAUAACCUUAGCUCAAAUAAUUGUUAAAACAUGCUUCAAGAUGUUUAAUUAAACAGUGAAUCCAAAGAGGAGCACGUAAGUCUUUAAAUAAUAAAUAAUUUCCACCAUUCCCAUUCUUUCUUUCACUUAAGAAAACUCUAAAAAGACUAUGAAAAAUCAGUUGUGAACUCCAAUUUAAACAGGCAAAAAGAAAAGUCUAGGAAUCACCAUUUAAGGAACAAAACUAUUUUUCAAGUCCAAAUUCGUUUGUUGACAGAACAUCUACUAAAGCAUCACUAACUGAUGUUAAGGGAACAAACCGAAAGAAGGACAUUUCACUUGAUUUCUUUUACCUAAACAAUUUAUGGAAAUCAAUCAUUUACCUAAACAAUUUAUACUCCCAAAUCCUACCCAUCCUUAAACGGCUCUUCUUAAGCUUUUCAUAACCGCAAAAAUUAAAAUAAGUAGUGGAGUAAAGAAGUGAACCUGUUUAAACAAAAUUUCUUUAAUAAGAGCAGACGAAAUCAACAAUUACAAACUUGGCUUCAAAACUCGGCAAGGAAUGACAGCAACUAACCCGCACCGGAAUUGCGGACGGGAAUCAUGAACCAAUAUCGAACGGCAGCUUCAAUAUGCAACGGACUCAAACCACCCUCAAAUUCAAUCAAACUCCAUUUUUUGAAAGUAAAAAACCGAAAUCAAAUAGAAUAAACAGAGGUGUAUUUUUCUUGUAUUUUUUUUUCGAUUUUCUAAAAUCUAAAAGAGGAAUAUUGUUUUUUAAACCCUAGCUUUUUUCAUUGCUCUCCAGAAUCGUCCCCUGUAGAAACCGAAAAUAGUAGAAUAUAUAGAAGCCUCGAAGAUUCUCUCCUUCCUUUCCAAGUAAUUAUCCCAAAAUUCCUGUUUUUCAGAUUUUCUUUUAAAAGAUAAUUUUUUUAUGAAUGGAAAGCGUGGAUUCGGUUUCACCCUAAUCCGACCGCUCCCAUUGUCUAAAGGAAAUCAAAAACGCAUGAGUGAGGUUGAAGAAUCUUCGGUGUUAGAGGUUCGUUAAGGUUCGGGGUGACGUGGAAAGAAGGAGAGAUGAGAGGAGGGGACCAUAGAGACUCAGGUGAGUGAACUCGCCAGUUUGGAUGAGUUUUUGAUACAAAUAUUAGCCAUUAGCUUUCGAAAAUUAGUUGCACGUGUUUUGGUGGGAAAAGUAGUUAUUGUUUGUGUCACACGCUUAGCAUGUUUGUAUUUCCUUUUCUUUUUAUUUAAGCAUUUUAGCUUCAUUACAAUUUUAUUAAUAGGAGAUACACAAAAUAUAAAGGCAUCGAGAUUGAUAUAUUAAUUGGACUCCUCUCUUUCUCCUCUUCUUCUCUCUAUAUUCUGCUUCCUCCUCGACCAACUCUUCUGUUCUUGUCUCAUUUCUGUUACUAGUUCACUCUUCUAAUGAAGUGAUACCUCAAUUAGGUAUCAAUUGGUAUCAGAUCUCGAUAGACGAUGGGACCACGUAUAACUGUCGAUGUAGUAACUAGCAAUCAACCCAUGGAUUUGCAGGAGCAAUAUGAAGAUCUAGCAGCUCAACAGCUAGAUCUAAGGGCAGAAAUGGCUCAAACACGAUAGGAACUCUGGGAUGACUUGGAUAAACGCCAUGUUGAGCUGCUCCAUAUGGUAAGUUCUCUAAAAUAUUCCUUUGAUAGUUUGAAAUUGAGCCAGCAAUCAAAGGACAAUGCUUCUACUUCGACUGCUAGGGAUAAGGUAUUACAAUCAGGGCAAGGUAUCUUAGGUCCUAAUCCUUAUUGUGGUAACACAAAUUGAGGUCAUAAUCUAAUUUUCCCUCCUUUCAAUGGAAAAAAUUUGAAAACCUGGUUAUAUAGGAUUGAGCAAUAUUUUGCAGAAGAUGACACUCCGCUCAAUCAGAGAGUGAGACUAGUAGCUAUGAACCUCGAUGAUUAGGCCUUAGCUUGGCAUCAAGCCUAUCUCAAAUGUCAGAAUGUACCUGUGUUACCCUCUUGGGAUGAGUAUAUUACUGAACUAAACGAAGUAAUUACUGGUGAUUUCUCUGAUCAUAUGCUAGAGUUGAAACAGUUGAAACAAACAGGAUAUGUUAGGGAAUUUCAAUUUGCUUUUGAUAGACUGGUAGCUCAAUGUAACUUAACUGUUGAGCAAGCUAUCUCUUGCUUCCUUGGUGGUUUGAAAGAGGAACUGGUGAAUCAUAUAAUGAUGCAUGAGCCUAACACUUUAGCUAAAACCUGCAGGCUAGCUAGGCUAGUUGAGGCCGCUUUAGCUGCUAAUGCCAGAGCUCAUAAAUAUACUUCAGUUGGUUACUCUGAUGCUAGGAGGAUUCCUUAUGAUAAUCAAGUCCCUAAACCUCCUUCCUAUCCAGCAGUUAGUCAUACACCUCGACUGACAUUACCUGCUCCUAACACUGUUGUGGUACCUAGGCAUAGGAGGACUAUUUCCCCAGCUGAGAUGCAGGCAAAAAGGGCCCAGAGAUUAUGUUAUUUUUGUGAUGAAAAAUAUACUGCAGGCCACAAAUGCAACCUUCCCAAAUAAUUGUUUGUCUUAGAGCUUGAAAGACAUGAUACCUUACCUACAGAAGAAGGAGACAAUACUUCUGAAGUUGAGAAACCUCAUGAGGAGUGGACUGUUGCUAAAGAAGGACAUCCUCACAUUUCACUAUGUGCAUUAGCUGGUAUCCAAGGAGCACAAACCAUUCAUGUUACAGGCUAUAGUGAUAAAAAAUCCAUUCAGAUUCUCUUAGAUGGUGGUAGCACCCAUAAAUUUAUAGAUUCAGCAGCUGCAAAGAAGCUAGGUUGUUAUGUUAUUCCUACUGUGCUAAGUUAUGUGAGCUUGGGCAACAACAAUCUUGAAGCCACUUCUGGAGUGGUAAAGAAUUUUAAGUGGAUAUUGGAGGGUAAUACAUAUGUAUCAGACCAUAUAAUCUUUCUUGUUGGUAAAUAUGAUUUGGUUUUAGGAGCCUUGUAGAUGAAGACCUUAGGUCCAGUCACAAUAGACUAUUCAGCCUUAACUAUGACCUUUAACUACCAAGGCAAAACACAUUUCUUGAAGGGAGUUUCAGAAUAUUGUAAGCUUUCUAGUUCUAAGGCUGUCAAUAAGUAUCAAGGUGAUAAUGCUUAGUUGUAUAUGCCACAGGUGGUGCUUGAAGCUCCAUUACCUACUUGUGGAGGUGAUGGGCUUUUUCUUUUCCUACACUUACCUAAAGAUAAGCCAAUGCCACAGUCACUCAGAGACUUAUUAACAACCUAUAAGUAGGUGUUCUCAGAGCCUACUGCACUACCUCCCCAAAGGGGUGCAUUUGACCACAGGAUCCCAUUGCAGCCUAGUACCAAACCAAUCAACAUCAGGCCUUAUAGAUAUUCUUCUAUGACAAAGGAUAUCAUUGAGAAGUUGGUAAAGGAGAUGCUACAGGAAGGGGUCAUCCAAUACCGAAACAACCCAUUCUCUUCACCUGUGGUGGUGGUAGGUAAGAAAGAUGGAACUUGGGAUUAUGUGUGGACUACAGGGACCUAAACGAGUGUACUAUUAAAGAUAAAUUCCCUAUUCCUAUUAUUGAUGACUGGGUGGAUGAGUUAUUAGGGGCUUCUAUCCUUCUAAGAUUGAUCUCAGAUCUAGUUAUCACCAGAUCAAGAUGGUUCCUGAAGAUGUCCCUAAGACAGCAUUCAAAACUCACAUAGGACACUAUGAGUAUUUGGUCAUGCCUUUUGGCUUGACCAAUGCUCCUUCCAUUUUCCAGUGCUUAAUGAACCAUGUCUUUCAGAAGCUUCUCAGAAAAUUUAUGCUUGUUUUCUUUGAUGAUAUUCUAAUCUACAGUCUGAAUUUGCAAGAUCAUCUUCUUUAUUUGCAGUAGGUUUUUGACAUUAUGGUGCAGAACAUUUUAUUGGCCAAGAAUUCUAAAUGUGUUUUUGGUGUGCCAAGUGUGAAAUAUCUAGGCCACUUUAUUUCUGCACAAGGAUUUGCUACUGACCCAAAGAAGAUAGAGGUGGUGAAGCACUGUAAUGACCCGACUGGUCGUUUUGAGCACUUGCACUUUUCUCGGUAGUUUGAGGGCACGAGUAUCCCCGCAUGAUGUAUUAUGUGAUGAACCGAUAGGUCAUCUUAUGUUUUAGAGCCUAAUUCUGUAUUUUGAAGUCUCAAAUACCUCAUCUUAUCUCUUCUCGAUUUGCGUACAUAGUCCGGGUAUUUUUUCUAAAAGCUUUUAUGUUAAACACUAAACAAAUAUGAAAUCUUUGCCUUAAAACCCAUUUGAGUUGACUUUGAUCAACGUUUUGAGCAAACUGACUCAGAUCUAUAUUUUGAUGGUCCGUAUCAUGAUUUGGGACUUGGGCGUAUGCCCGGAAUCGAAUUCGGAAGUCCCUAGCUCGAGUUAUCGAAUUUUGUUAAAAUUUAAAAGUUUAAAGGCUUAAUGAAUCUAAUGGUUUGAUCGAUGUUUGAAAUUAUUGAUACCGGGUCCGUAUUUAGGUUUCAAAAUCGGGUAUAAGCUCAUUUCUAUAUUUAUGACUUGUCUGUCAAAUUUAGUGAGAAACGGAGUUGGUUUGACAUGAUUCGGACGUCCGAUUGUUGAAAUAGAAGUUUUAAAGUUUUCUUGAAAAUUUCUUUUGAUUUGGUGCUUAAUUCGUAGUUUUAGGUGUUAUCUUGGCGAUUUGGUCGCGCGAGCAAGUUCGUAUAAUAUUUUUAUACUUGUGUGCAUAUUUGAUUUAGAGCCCCGAGGACUCGGGUGAGUUUCAGAUUGGAUCCGGAAUAAUUUUUUCAUGAUUUUGAGUGUUGGUACUGGUGUCAUAGCACUUGCGAUAUUUUUGUCGCAAAAUGCGACUAUCGCAAUUGCAAAGCAACCUCGCAUUUGCGAAGCUGGGCUACUGGGGAAAGGACUCGCAUUUGCGAAGAAUUCUCCGCUUUUGUGAAGCCUGUUGAGUUCGCAUUUGCGGACUCAGUAUCGUAUUUGCGAUAAAGGCCUAGGCGGGGUUAGUUCGCUUUUGCGAAGGACCAAUGUUCACAUUUGCGACCUUUUUGGUCGCAUUUGCGAAGGCAACAGAGAAUUUCAAAACUUUGAUUUUGCGAUUAGUUGUUCGCAUUUGUGAUGUUCACAUUUGCGAAACCCAUGUCGCAAAUGCGACAUCUUCAGCAUGCAUAUAGCUGAGAAUUCCGAGACUUAGCUUCAUUUUGUUAUAUUUUGAACCCUAGCUUCGAUGGGAGGCGAUUUUGUGAAGGGAUUCUCAUACCAAAUCAUUGGGUAAGUGACUCUAAUUAAUUAUCAACUUCAUUUCAUGAUUUUACAUAAGAUUUAACAUCAAAUUCAUAAGAAUCUAGGGAAAAAUUUGUGGAUUUUGUCAAAACUUUGAAAAAUGAAAAUUUGGGAUUUAAGAGUCGAAUAGGACUCGGAUUUGGAAACAAAAUACAUAUUUAGACUCGUGAGGCUAUGGAUAGUCAAUACCUACCCUUGGACCCAGAUUUUGACAGGGCGGGCCCGGGGGUUGACUUUUGUUGACGUUUUAGAAAUUGUAUAAAAAUAACAGCUUUAUUAAUUAAAAUUAUUUUCCCUUGCAUUGUGUAAUGUAUUUAAGUCGUCUUUGGCUAGAUUGAGCCGAGCGGAGGUGAAUUUGUAAAGGAAAAAUCUAAAUUGAGUAUUGAGUUAGCCUAAUUGAGGUAAGUGUCUUGCCUAACUUUGUUGAGGAAAUUUUUCCUACUAUUUGACAUUGUUUGCUACAUGCGAGGAUGAUACAUAUAUGAGGUGACGAGCAUAUAUGCAUGUGCCAGGAUUAACUAUGCUCGGGGGUAAAUUAUGUCUUGUAGAAUCACGUGACCUUCUUGCCUUAUGCCUUACUUGACUCCUAGAUACUAAGAACAUAGUAUUAAAUGUUAGAAACUAAGACUUAGCUUAUUAUAACUUGAUCAAAUUUGAUGGAAUUCUGAGAAUACAUUGGUGUGUUUAAUUCGGUCAUCAAUAUGCAUAAUCAUUAAUACAUUGCUACGGCCGAUAUCCUUGAGAUACUAGAUUCUAUACUUGUGUUGUAGAUCAUUUGUGAGAUUUGUUGGAAUACUUGAAUAAUAAGGUUCUUGCGGGUUUAUUGAACUAUUGUUGGCUUGGAAAGUUGUGAUUGGGAUUCAUUUGGAAUAUUCCUUUAAACACUCUCCUUGACGUUAUUUAUGCUUCCUGCCUUAUUUAUCAUUGAUAUACAUAUGCUUGGUAAGGAAGAGGGUAAAGCACGAAGGGUGAUGCCGUGCCUUUGUUUAUAUAUUAUCAUGUGAGGGAGAGUGUAAAGCACGAAGGGUGAUGUCGUACCAUAUUAUUGAGAGUAAAAUCAUGAAGGGUGAUGUCGUGCCAUAUUAUUGAGAGUAAAAGCAUGACGGGUGAUGCCAUGUCGUUUUAUUUAUAUUAUCAUAUUUUUAAUUAUCAUGAGUUCAUGGCACGAUGGGUGUUUCCGUGCAGGUGAGGACAAGGUACAUGCAUUAUAUUAUGAUAUCUUUCCUUUGUGUAUACGUUCAUGCCGUUACAUUGAGCUGUUAAUUUUAUAUUUAUGGUUCCUAUGUGACUUGUCGUUAAUGCCCUGUUCUUGUUCUUUAUCUUAUUUGUUAUUGUGUCACUCAUGCCUUCUACUUGCUAAACUUGCAAUACAAUGCCUACUUCCUACUGUCAUGAUUAUAUCUUUGUCGUAUCUAUUUUGGUUGCACUUAGUACAUGUCUGCUACCGUGUUAGUCAUUCAUACUUCUACUUGUUAACGCAUAAAGAUUAUGUGUUCCCCUAUUAUUCGUUAUAUUUGUAUUUAUGCCUCCACCAUGCUAGUUAGUUGAAGUUAUAUUCCUUUUCCUGAUUGUUGUCAUCACCUCUAUGCUUUCUGCCUAGUCUGUUACUGAUGCCCUUAUGUACAUUCUCGCUCAUUUUUGCUAUUUGCGUAUUUCCUACUUUGCCAUUACUGUUAUCGGCAUUUCUACCGUCCAGUUGGUACUGUUGUAUGCAUUUUUGGUAAGGAUGAUAUAAAUGCAUGAAGGGUGUUGCCGUGCAAUUGACUUGAUAUCAGAGUAUAUUCCUCACGUUAUGAAAGUUAUGGCAUGACUAUUGUGGUUUAUUGGUUUCGCUCUAUGGAAAAUAUUGCCUGAGAUAUUGGAAACUGUUGAAUUAUGAUCUCUUCUAGUAAUCUGUUAUUAUUCUACAUUCGUUUCGCGUACUCUAUCCUCUUAUACUGUAGUAUAGUUCUAUUGCUAGAUUUCGGUACAAAUUUUUAUCAGUGAGCAUAUUUUUACUAAAAGCCUCGUCACUAUUUCGACGAGGUUAGACAAAAUACUUACUGGGUACAUGUGGUCAAUUGUACUCAUACUACACUUCUGCACCUUGCAUGCAGACUUUUAGAGCGGAGAUGCUGGUGAUGUCGGGAGCUGUCAUGACCAAAUUUUUCCUCCGUAUGACAUCGUGAUGGCACCUAGUCUCUAUGACUAGGUAAGCCUAAUAUUUUGCGGAAUAAAUGAAAUGAAAAUAUAUAUUUAACAACGAACUGUAGCAAUAACACUAUAAUUGAGUACCAUGCCAUUUGGCAUGUACAAUAACCAACUCCUCAAUAUACUACACAGCAUUCCCAAAACCCAAAACAUCGUGAAUCACAAAGUACACGAGGAAAACCUAGUGUUUCUAUACAUCAGAGUCUAUCAAAGGAAAAUACAUAAGAUAAUGGACAUGUGGAAGAGUAGAAGGGGACUCCGAGGUCUGCGGACGCGACAAGUAUAUCUUAAAGUCUCCAAAGCUAUCCCGGCUCACUGAUAGUGCGGCUGAUAAGGAGUACCUGGAUCUGCAUACGAAAAACAUGUGCAAAAGAGUAGCAUGAGUACACCAUAAUCGGUACCCAGUAAGUGCCAAGUCUAACCUCGGUCGAGUAGUGACGAAGUCAGUUCAGGGCCCUAGUGGUAUAUAUAUAAUAACACAAGAUAUAAUAAAAUACCGCAGUAAAAUAAAGACUGAAAUUUAACAAGAAUGAAAUUAUAGAAGACAACAGCUCAGUACACAAAGAUAACAACAGGGGUUUUUCCGAGAUACCGUCUCGUAGUCCCAACGUAAAUGUGCAGAACAUGGGGAUCUCUCGCAAUACCGUUAUGUAGUCCCAAAGUAAAUAUGCAGUACAGGGGAAUCUCCCGGAAUACCGUUUCGUAGUCCCAAAGUAAAUAUGCAGUACAUGGGGAUCUCCCAAAAUACCGUUUCGUAGUCCCAAAGUAAAUAUGCAGUACAGGGGGAUCUCCCGGAAUACCGUUUCGUAGACCCAAAGUAAAUAUACAUCCAAACAAUAGAAUUUAAUAGUUACGGCACGAAAUUCUACAGUUCAACCUAAGUACCAGUUAAGGAAAGACAAGAAAAUUCACUAAACAUGCUGCACAUAGUUCAAGUAAAUAGUUAAGGCAAGUAGGCAUGCUAUUCUAGUCUAGCCGGAUAUCACACAUGCUAAUGGAACUCAAAUAAGAAGGAAGUCAGGUUAUUACUUAGUAGAAAAAAAAUCAGUUUUUUACACAAUUAGCCCGUGUACGUACUCGUUACCUCACGUACACGGCACUCAUAUAUCAAAAAUAGUACAAAUCUUACGGGGAGUUUCCCCACACAAAGUUAGGUAAGCCACUUACCUCGAACCAACCUCAAUCAAUCGGUAAGAAUGCCUUUUCCACGAAUAUCCGACUCUGAAUGGCUCGAAUAUAGCCAAAAUAAUUCGAUACAAUCAACAAAAAUUAUAGUAAUCAAUUUCAUAAGAAAAUACUAUAUUUUUCAAUAAAAAUUCGAAAUUAACUCAAAAAUCGUCCGUGGGGCCCACGUCUCGGAAUCCGACGAAACUCACAAAAUCCGAUAACUCAUUCAAUUGCGAGUCCAACCAUACCAGUUUCACUCAAAUCCGACUCUGAAUCGACACCGGAAUCUCAAAAAUUCGUUUCUAUGAGAUUUCUAAAAAUUUUCCAAAUUUCCAUCUCAACACACUAAUUAAAUGGGGAAAACAAUGAUAUAUUUGUGUAUAUUGACCAAAUCCGAGUUAGAAUCACUUACCCCAAUAUUUUUCCUAGAAAAUCUAUCAAAAUCAUCUCUCCUCAAGCUCCAAUUCUGUCCAGGCAGCUGUCACGACCCAAAAUCCCACCACAGGCGUCGUGAUGGCACCUAGUCUCUAACACUAGGUAAGCCGAUUUCUAUUACAUUUUGAAGNNNNNNNNNNNNNNNNNNNNNNNNNNNNNNNNNNNNNNNNNNNNNNNNNNNNNNNNNNNNNNNNNNNNNNNNNNNNNNNNNNNNNNNNNNNNNNNNNNNNNNNNNNNNNNNNNNNNNNNNNNNNNNNNNNNNNNNNNNNNNNNNNNNNNNNNNNNNNNNNNNNNNNNNNNNNNNNNNNNNNNNNNNNNNNNNNNNNNNNNNNNNNNNNNNNNNNNNNNNNNNNNNNNNNNNNNNNNNNNNNNNNNNNNNNNNNNNNNNNNNNNNNNNNNNNNNNNNNNNNNNNNNNNNNNNNNNNNNNNNNNNNNNNNNNNNNNNNNNNNNNNNNNNNNNNNNNNNNNNNNNNNNNNNNNNNNNNNNNNNNNNNNNNNNNNNNNNNNNNNNNNNNNNNNNNNNNNNNNNNNNNNNNNNNNNNNNNNNNNNNNNNNNNNNNNNNNNNNNNNNNNNNNNNNNNNNNNNNNNNNNNNNNNNNNNNNNNNNNNNNNNNNNNNNNNNNNNNNNNNNNNNNNNNNNNNNNNNNNNNNNNNNNNNNNNNNNNNNNNNNNNNNNNNNNNNNNNNNNNNNNNNNNNNNNNNNNNNNNNNNNNNNNNNNNNNNNNNNNNNNNNNNNNNNNNNNNNNNNNNNNNNNNNNNNNNNNNNNNNNNNNNNNNNNNNNNNNNNNNNNNNNNNNNNNNNNNNNNNNNNNNNNNNNNNNNNNNNNNNNNNNNNNNNNNNNNNNNNNNNNNNNNNNNNNNNNNNNNNNNNNNNNNNNNNNNNNNNNNNNNNNNNNNNNNNNNNNNNNNNNNNNNNNNNNNNNNNNNNNNNNNNNNNNNNNNNNNNNNNNNNNNNNNNNNNNNNNNNNNNNNNNNNNNNNNNNNNNNNNNNNNNNNNNNNNNNNNNNNNNNNNNNNNNNNNNNNNNNNNNNNNNNNNNNNNNNNNNNNNNNNNNNNNNNNNNNNNNNNNNNNNNNNNNNNNNNNNNNNNNNNNNNNNNNNNNNNNNNNNNNNNNNNNNNNNNNNNNNNNNNNNNNNNNNNNNNNNNNNNNNNNNNNNNNNNNNNNNNNNNNNNNNNNNNNNNNNNNNNNNNNNNNNNNNNNNNNNNNNNNNNNNNNNNNNNNNNNNNNNNNNNNNNNNNNNNNNNNNNNNNNNNNNNNNNNNNNNNNNNNNNNNNNNNNNNNNNNNNNNNNNNNNNNNNNNNNNNNNNNNNNNNNNNNNNNNNNNNNNNNNNNNNNNNNNNNNNNNNNNNNNNNNNNNNNNNNNNNNNNNNNNNNNNNNNNNNNNNNNNNNNNNNNNNNNNNNNNNNNNNNNNNNNNNNNNNNNNNNNNNNNNNNNNNNNNNNNNNNNNNNNNNNNNNNNNNNNNNNNNNNNNNNNNNNNNNNNNNNNNNNNNNNNNNNNNNNNNNNNNNNNNNNNNNNNNNNNNNNNNNNNNNNNNNNNNNNNNNNNNNNNNNNNNNNNNNNNNNNNNNNNNNNNNNNNNNNNNNNNNNNNNNNNNNNNNNNNNNNNNNNNNNNNNNNNNNNNNNNNNNNNNNNNNNNNNNNNNNNNNNNNNNNNNNNNNNNNNNNNNNNNNNNNNNNNNNNNNNNNNNNNNNNNNNNNNNNNNNNNNNNNNNNNNNNNNNNNNNNNNNNNNNNNNNNNNNNNNNNNNNNNNNNNNNNNNNNNNNNNNNNNNNNNNNNNNNNNNNNNNNNNNNNNNNNNNNNNNNNNNNNNNNNNNNNNNNNNNNNNNNNNNNNNNNNNNNNNNNNNNNNNNNNNNNNNNNNNNNNNNNNNNNNNNNNNNNNNNNNNNNNNNNNNNNNNNNNNNNNNNNNNNNNCCAAAUUAAUUGUAUAACUUCAUUAAAAUUCAUCGAAAAUAAUUUCGGAUAAUAAUACGUCGACUUAAAAAAUUUAUUCUGAAAAGUAAACAAAAGUCAACGUGGGACCCGCCCCUUGGAACCCAACAUAAUUUUUAUGAAAUAAAAAUACCCAUUCCGAUACGAGUUCAACCAUACCAAUUUUAUUGAAUUCCAAUAACAACUCGACCUCCAAAUCUUAAAUUUUUAUUUUUGGAAGAUUUUGUAAAAUUCUUGAUUUCUUCCAUUUAAAUCCGAACUAAAUGAUGAAUAUAAUUAUAGAUUCAUGAAAUAUAAUAACUUUAGGAUAUAUAACACUUAUCCCAACCAAGCUUGUGAAACAUCCCUCCAGAAUCGGCCAAAUCCGAGCUCCAAAAAUCUCAAUCGAAAAAUGGCGAAAUGACCAUUUUUGGUCCUUAACAUUCUGCCCAGUUUCGCACCUGCGGACUGAUUUUUCGCAUUUGCGAGCCAAGAUGCGCAUCUGCAAUGAUCACUGCCCAGCCACAAGCUCGCACCUGUGGAGCCAUUUCCGCUUCUGCGCUGAUCGCAGGUGCACAGCAUUUCCGCUUCUGCGCUGCCUCAUCGCUUCUGUGUAGCAACCAUCGCACCUGCGAUUGCGCAGGUGCGGAAGAUUGUCCGCAUCUUCGACCUUCCUCCAGCUCUGCCCAGCUCACUUCUGCGAGGUCGCACUUACGCCCAAAAUUCCGCAGGUGCGCAUCCAACGGCUGCUGCAAUUUUCCAGCAGCUUCUUCCAAGUCCGAAUUGCUCCGUUAACCUUACGAAAUUCACCCGAGGCCCCCGGGACCUCAACCAAUUAUACCAACAUGUUCCAAAAUACAAUACGAACUUAGUCGAAGCUUCAAACCACAUCAAAUAACGCCGAAAUUACGAAUCACGCAUCGAAUCGAAUUAUAAGGUUUCAAAUCUUUCAACUUCUAUAUUUCGCGUCGAAACGUAUCAAAUCAAUCCGGAAUGACUCCAAAUUUUGCACACAAGUCAUAAUUGAUGUAAGGGAGCUAUUCCCAUUUUCGGAAUCGAAAUUCGACCUCGUUAUCAAAAAUUUACCCUUUGGUCGGACUUUCCCAAAAUCUUAUAUUUUUCAACUUUCGCCAAAAUGUCGAAUUGUCCUACGAACUUCCAAAUCCAAAUCCGAACAUACGCCUAAGUCCGAGAUCAUCAUACGAAGCUAUUGCCAUCAUCUAAAUUCCAUUCUGGGGUCGUUUACUCAAAAGUCAACUCCCCGGUUAACUCUUUCCAUUUAAGCUUCAAAAUGAGAAUUUUUCUUUAAAUUAAAUUUUGAAUCUUCCAAAAACCAAACUUGACCACACACGUGGUCAUAAUACCUAUUGUGAAGUUUCUCGAGAUCUUAAAUCACUGGACGGAGCGUAAUUUCUUAAAACGACAAGUCGGGUCAUUACAGCAGUCCUCAGUCCUGCCUCGAUCCUGGCCCUCGAUCAAGGCUUCGAUCAUGGCAAUCGAUCAUGGCCCUCGAUACUGGGCCUCGAUCCUGACCUUCGAUCCCGGGCAUCGAUCAUGGCUUUGAUCCUGGCCCUCGAUCCUGGCCUUCAAUCAUGGCCCUCGAUUCUGGCCUUCGAUCAUGGCCCUCGAUCAUGACCCUCGAUCCUGAGCCUCGACCCUGGCUUCGAUCCUGGACCUCGACCCUGGCCUUCGAACCUGGGCUCUAUUUCUAGGCUUCGAUCCUGGGCUCGAUUUUUGCAUUUCCAGCAGAAGAUAAUUGCAUCAACUUUUGCAGCAGCUGUUUAAGUCCAACUUUUGAUCCGUUAAUCAUCCGAAACUCACCCGAGGCCCUCAGGACCUCAACAAAAAAUACCAACAAGUCCUAAAACAUCAUACGAACUUAUUUAAAAUCUCAAAUCAUAUCAAACAACGCUAAAAUCAUAAUUCAUACCCCAAUUCAAGCUUAAUGAAACUUAAGAAUUUAUAACUUCUACAUUCAAUGCCGAAACCUAUCAAAUCAAGUCCGAUUGACCUCAAAUUUUGCACACAAGUCAUAAAUGACAUAACAGAGCUAUAAAAAUUUUAGAACUGGAUUCCAAUCCCGAUAUCAAAAAGUCAACUCCCCGGUCAAAACUUCCAAACUUAAAUUUCUAUUUUAGCCAUUUCAAGCCUAUUUGAGCUACAGACCUCCAAAACACAAUCUGGACAUGCCCCUAAGUCCAAAAUCACCUAACGGAACUGAUGGAAUUCCAUUUCGGAUUCGUGUUCAUACAGUUCUGACUACGGUCCAAAUCCUAAAGUUUAAACCUCCAUUUAGGGACUAAGUGUCCUAAAACACUCCAAAAAUCAAAAUAAAACCUCCCGGCAAGUCACAAUAACAUGAAUAGAUAUGGAAAAAGUAGUAAAUAGGGGAUCAGAGCUAUUACUCUUAAAACGACCAGUCGGAUCGUUAUAGGAGCUGAACCUGAAGAUGUUCAUGCAUUCCGGAUAUGCCUGCCACUUGUCCUUAAUGGCUUUAGAUUUUGUUAAUCUGUUUAUAUAGCUUUCAAACAUAUCGUGUAAUUAUUUGUAUAAGCUUUGUAAAUUCUAAGUCUUAGAAACUCAUGAUUUGUACUACCAGUUCUUGGGUUAAUUUGUAAAUGUCCAGAUAAUUCUUCACUAUUUUCCUAUAUAAUUUCAUUUGGAUUGUAUUGUCUGUUAGUUGGCUUACCUAGCGAGUCGAGUUAAGUGCCAUCACGACUAGUGACCUUUGGGUCGUGAUAAGCACUGGCUUACUCCCACAAUUGUGAAGCAAUUAAGAGGCUUCCUUGGGUUAGCUGGAUACUAUAGGAAGUUUAUCAGAGGCUAUGGUCUUAUUAGUCGAUCUCUAACAAACCUACUGAAGAAGUAUACUUUUCUAAGGACCGAGGCUUCUACACAAGCCUUUGUUGAGCUCAAACUGGUACUCACUACUGUGAGCACCUAAAAUUUUAUCAUAUUUAAAUUUUAUCACCUUCUACUAUGUAAAUAUUUUUAGGGGUUUAAUCUAUAAUUUUUAGCUUUGUUUCACCUUUUUUAUAGGGUAAAAAAAAUUUAAAAACUUAAAAGGUCAAUUAUUAUUAUUAUUAUUAUUAUUAUUAUUAUUAUUAUUAUUAUUAUUAUUAUUAUUAUUAUUAUUAUUAUUAUUAUUAUUUUUAUCUUAAUUUUUAAAAAAACCCAAAAAAUUAAAUAAUUUUUUUUAAAAACAACAAAUUCGGGUGGGAAUAAAAUAUGAGGAAAAGGGGAAGUAGGAAAUUAAAAAAUAAAAGUAAAGGAAAGUGGGAAUUUAAAAAAAAAGUAAAAGGAAGUGGAAAUUAAAAUUAAAAAAAAAGUAAAAGAAAGUGGAAAUUAAAAUUUAAAAAAAGUAAAAGAAAGUGAAAAUUAGAAAAAAAAGUAAAGGAAGAUGAAAAUUAAAAAAUAAAAGUAAAGGAAGGUGGGGAAUUAAAAAAAAGAAGGAAAUGGGAAGUGAAAAUUUCUUCUUUUUUUUUUAACAAAAUCUGAAAAAAAAAAUCAAAAAGGUUGUCUAUAAAUAGAAGAGAAAAUGUGAGAAAAAAGAGAGAAGAAAGGGGGAGGAAAGAGAGGAGGGAAUUGAAAAAAAAAAUCUUUUUUUCCUUCAUCUUUUUUUCGAAAAUGCCCCAAAUUCAAGCCUAAAAACAUCCUUGAAGUACCCUCAUAAAUGUAGCAAGGUUCCGACUUUGUCUCUCCAUUUCCGUCAAGUUCGAGGUCGAGCUAAAGCUCCGGUCGAUUUUGGUUCAUAGUCUAUCCGUUUUUGCUUGUUAAAAGGAAAGCUUUGAAGGUCCGUUACUUCACUUUCUUUGUUAAAUAUGUAACUUUGUUUAAUUUUUUUUUCUUGAAUUUAAAGAUCAUAAGUUUGUAUUCAAAUGCUUGAUAUCAUGUCUAUGGCUUUAAUUUGAGUUGAUAUAAUCACCUAUUUGUUAGAGUAAAUUUUGACAUUUAUCUUAGUUGAUCUUAAUUGGACCUCUUGUUAAGUGUACAAAUGAAUAUAAUUUCUUGUCUAUGUAAGUUCACCUUGUUAGAAUUUUAGAUGAGCUUUCACAUUUAUUUUGUCAAUGUUCUUUAUCAUGAAUUAAAUCUAGGUGAGUAAAACUAAUUAUUGGAGUUUAAUUACUGGGUCAUGUUAUCAUAUUCUACUUAGUUUUAAUUGAUUUUCUAUUAUCUUAUAACAAAUGAACUAGUUUUAAACUGAAAAAUUGGUCUGCAAUGGGCCGUAGAGAAUAACUUGGUUUUCAAUGUGAUUUUCAUUAAUCUCACUUUAUUGAUUGGGCUGUAGCGCAUUUUCAAGAAUUGAAAAGCAUUUGAGCUAAAUAAGAAUAAUUCUAGUGGCCCGUCAUUAAUAAGAUCUUGGCUAGCCAUCCAUUGUAAAUUAAUAGAUAAAUGUCUCACAACUUCAAAGAUAGAGUAGUAAGUUGUAAACCCGUUUUUUAAUGUGAAUAAUUUGUCAAUACUCCAACUAGUUAAAAUAUUUUUUGACUUCCAAAUAAUUCUAUAUCCAUGAAUCAUGGCCUUCACAAUAAUCUCAAAUUAGAUUAGAAAAAAUAAAUGGAAUACCCUGAAUACGCCACUAUGCUUUAAGCGCGUGUUAACCAAUCAAUUGUCGUGAUUAUGUACACGUUCGCGUGACAUAGUUAUGAUUUCCCAAAUUAAAGGCAAAGUAUGCAUUCAUGUGACUUUGAAAAAAUAAUCUUAAAAAUAAUAAAGUAUUAUUAAUUGUGUACACGUACGCAUGACAUAAUUCUUGACAUACCAAACAAAACGAAUACAUGUACGUGUGAUUCAUUUUUAGAUAAUUCCAUAAUUACUAAUAAUCAAGCAAUUAAAAGCGGUUUAAGGUAAAAGUGCAUAAAUUUCCCUAGAACAUAAAAUAUCCAGAAUUAGUUAAGCCAAAUAUAAUUAUUAAAGUGACCACGAUAGAACUACGGAACUCGAGAGUGCCACACACAUUCUCCCGGGUUAACAGAAUUCCUUACCCGGUCUUCUGUGUUUCCCAGACUUAAACAGAAUCAAUUUUCUUGAAUUGGGAUUUUAAAAUAAUGGUGACUUGAGACACCGUAAACAAAUAUUUCAAGUGGUGACUCUUUAAAUUAAAUAAAAUAAUCUUAUUUCAAUAAUGUCACUUAAAGUGAAAAACUCUUUUCCCCGUAAAAAGGAGGUAUGACAACUAUUGCACAUGUUCUGGCCUUGCCCAAUUACUCCUUAUCAUUUGUUGUUGAGACUGAUGCUAGUGGAUCUAGUAUUCGUGUUGUCCUUAUGCAAAACAAUCAUCCUAUAACCUUUAUUAGUAAAGGGUUGGCUCCCAGGCAUGCUGCAUUGUCUGUAUAUGAAAGAGAGCUUCUUGAAUUGGUCUUUGUUGUGACCAAAUGGUCAUAUUAUCUUCUAGCCAACACUUUGUUGUCAGAACUGACCAGAAAGCACUCAAAUAUCUUUUAGAAUAAAAGCUCCAUACUGAUUCUCAGAUUAGGUGGUUGGCUAAACUCGUGCCUUUUGAUUUUGAAGUCCAAUAUAAAAUGGGAAGGGAGAAUGUAAUUGCAGAUUCCCUAUCCAGAGUUUAGGGAGCAUCACUGAUGGCCAUGCUCCUUUCUUCAGUUCAAGCUGACUUAUGAAAAAACAUUCAAGUUAGUUGGCAUUCAGAUCCUAAAUUGAAGGCCUUGAUUACUUCAUCACAAUAGAAGCCUUAGAAACACUUCACUUGGGUGAAUGAUCAGCUUAGAAGGAAAGGCAAACUGCUAGGCAUGCAACAAUGCUGCUUUGAGACAACAAAUACUCACACUUUAACAUUCCACUUCUUCUUGGGGGUCAUUCUACUAUUGAUGCUACUAUAAGGAAGGUUCUUACUUAUUUCUAUUGGAAGGGGAUAAGAACUGACAUUAUGACCUUUGUUCACAAGUGUUCUGUGUGCCAAAGAAACAAGUAUGGCACUGGUGCAUCCCCUGGCCUUCUCCAACCUUUGCCUAUUCCUGCUCUUCCUUGGACAAACAUCACAAUGGAUUUCAUAGAAGGCUUGCCUAAGUCUCAAGGCAAAGCAGUUAUAUGGGUCAUUGUUGAUCGACCCACCAAACUUGCACACUUUAUUAUUUUGGCUCAACCUUAUACUGUUCAGUCCCUUGUCCCUAUUUUCUUGGAUAAUAUCUUCAAACUUCAUAGUUUUCCUGCUUCCAUUACAAGUGACAAAAGACCCCAUCUUCAUUAGCUUCUUAUGGAGAGAAUUUCUUACUGCUCAAGGAGUUACCUUGAACACCUUCACUGCUUAUCAUCCUCAAACUUAUGGUCAGACAGAGGUGCUUAAUAGUUGUUUAGAAAUUUACCUCCGCUGCUUCUGCACUGACUCACCUUCUGACUGGUCUUUCUUCCUUGCCUUAGCUGAAUGGUGGUAUAAUACCAGCCCACAUUCUGCUAUUAAAACUUCACCUUUUGAGCUUCUUUAUGGUUAUCCACCACCACUACAUUUGCCUUACUUACCAGGGGAUUCAGAGGUCAAGUCUAUUGAGGACAUUUCUCUGCUUCGUGAGUUCAAGCUCCAACUAGCUAAGUUUCAUCUCACUCGAGCACAACAGAGAAUGCAAGCUCAAGCUAAUGCCUACAGGUCCGACAGGUAAUUCCAAGUUAGUGAUUGGGUCUUUGUCAAGAUUCAACCAUACAGACAACCUUUCUUAUCCUCUUUUCCCUAUCAUAAGUUGACUUCUCGCUACUUUGGACCAUAUCCUACAAUUGAGAAAAUUGGAGUUGUUGCUUACAAACUGUUACUCCCACCUGAAGUUCUGGUCCACUCCACAUUUCAUGUCUCACAGCUCAAGUUUUGUUAUGAAGUCCCUGCUGAAAUUAUACAUCCUCCUGUAAUUGAUUUGGCUAGUCAAUUAUUCCCUUCUCCUGAGUUGAUUAUGGAAAGACGACCUAUCAAUAAGGGAAACAAGGUUGUUGCUCAGUGUUUGGUUAAAUAGACUGGACUGGAUGCCUCCAAUGCCACUUGGGAAUUAGAUUUUGCACUUAAAGCUCGUUUCCUUUCCUUCACCCUUGAGGACAAGGGUGUUGUUCAACCAAGGGGUAUUGAUACAAGUAUUAGCCAUUAGCUUUUGAAAAUUAGUUGCACACGUUUUGGCGGGAAAAGUAGUUAUUAUUUGUGUCACACACUUAGCAUGUAUGUAUUUCCUUUUCUUUUUAUUUCAGCAUGUUAGCUUUAUUACAAUCUUAUUAUAGGAGAUACAUAAAAUGUAAAGGCAUUAAGAUUGGUAUAUGAAUUGAACUCCUCUCUUCUCUAUAUAUUUUGCUUCCUCCACGACCAACUCUUAUGUUCUUCUCUCAUUUCUGUUACUAGUUCACUGUUCCAUUGAAGUGAUACCUCAAUUUGGUAUCAGUUUUUCGACGAGUUUCGGGGCGGCAGAGAGGUGUGGUGCGGCUGCUAGGUUUAGGGAAUUAGGGUUAGGGUUUGGAGGAUAUUAGGUUAUAUAUGGGGUGUGAAAGAGUUGUGGCCAUUGGAUCUAAGUGGGGUGAAUGGCUGAGAUUUAGAAUUGGAAAUGGGGUGGUGGAUUGGGUCGGCUGGUGGGUCAGCGGGUUGGGACUGAUUGUGCUAAUGGAUACACGAAAUUGGGCCUUCUUUGAAUUAUAAAUCAAGGCCAUGUACAACCCAAAAUCAAUUCUCUUUCUCUUAAGAAUAAGAGUACAAUUACUGUUAAUUCAUGCUAAUUAAAUAAAAUAAUUCUAAUUGCAAAACACUAAGAAACUAUAUAUUAAAGUUUCGAAUAUUAAAAUAUAAGUCUAUUUUUUUUUUGUAUUUUCAAAGAUUAAACUUAAAAUAAGGCUAAAAGCAUAGCAAUAUAAAAUACUAAUAGAAAUAUGUAACAAGAUAAGAAAUAUUAUAAAAUGAAACUAUUUUGUGUUUUCAAUUUGUAAUUGAAGUAAAAAAUAGACUAGAACUCUAUAAAACUCAAAUAAAUAUUUAAAAAAAUACUAAAAACAACUUUAAAUGAUUUGCGGGUAAAAUAUUACGUGCUUACGGCGUGAUUCUGAAAAGGAAAAGAUAUUUGGGAUUCUCAUGAGUUGGUUCGCUGUGAAGAAUGUGGCAGGUGAGUUUCUUUUUUUUUUUUUGGUUACAAGAUUUUGGGUCAAUGAUUUAGCGGUUAUUAUUCGUUUUGGCCGAGCGCAUGUUGAUUUCGUAUAAAUAUAUAAAUAUUAUUUAACAUAGUUCAACUAUAGAUAUUUCAAGUCAAGCAAAUAGGUGCCACACUGGUUUGGCCAUGGGUAAGAGUCGUCUAAUGUGUGUGAUUUUCCAAACAUCAACCUUCAGUAAAUUCAGAAAAAUAGAGAGUUUACACUUAUAGAAAUAUAUCGAUAUAAAUAAAAUUAACUUAAAUGCACUCUCAUAAAAAAACUAUAGUACUAUGUCUUCGUUAUCAAAUUAAAAGGAAUAUAAUAGUGGAGAGAAUUAGUUGCAAUACAUAAUAGCUGGUGAAUGCAAAGUUCUAAAACAUAAUAUAAAUAAUGUUCAUAUAACCUUUUUUGGUUGGAUUUCCUGUUCAUUUCAGAUUCUUGACAAGCCCUCUUUCAAUCACAGCAUCUCUUAUGAGGUUAAAAGAAGUUUCGAAAUCAUCAAGCAGCUGUUGUGGAUCAGGAAUAGCACUUUCGUCAACAGAUACGACGAUGAUCAUCUUAUUGAUAUAGCUUUGGAUAUUGAUCAUCAGUGCCUAGAAUUACAAUUAAUGAAAAAAUGUGUUAUUGAUGUAUUUUAGCCAAUUAUAGUACGUAAGUCAAUUAUCAAAAACGGCUUAUAACACACAGUUACCUAUUGUAAAUGUUAUUUUAACCCGAUAAAGUAAGAAAACUAUACACUAUCAACUCACAUAAAUUGAACUCUUCAACUAAUUAGGUAAAAAAACAGUCCCCUUAUAUCAAUUUCCUCUAUGAAAAAUAUAUAUGGGAAAGGAAAGCGAGAUUAAGAUUUUUAUGUUGUAAACAUUUCCACUUAUCAAACACCCCCUCGGGUCCCCUUUUAAUUAUAGGCUCAAGAACCAAAAUUAAAGAGGCUUUUAGAGGUGAUUUUCCAUUGUUUAGGACUUGGACUCAUGCAAUAUAAUUAAGGUAAAAAUUUAUCUUUACCUAGUAUUUACACCAACAUAUGCAAUUUAAUCUUGAUAGUUAGUACUUCUUCUGUUCACUUUUACUUGUCCACUAUGAAUUUUGCACACCCCUUAAGAAAUAAUAAAUGAACUGCAUAAUUUACCAUGAUACCCAUAUUAAUUGAUACAUAUUUUUAAUGAAUUUGAGAAAAUUAUUUGAAAUGAGUAAUUAAUAUUGUGGGUAUAACUGAAAAAAUAAAUUGUCUUCUCUUAGUAUGCUAAAAGUGACAAAUAAAAGUGAAAAUCUAUUUUUAGAAUACAGAACAAGUAAAAUUGAAUGGACGGAGUUAAAUUAAAGCAAGAAUAUAAAUCACCUAACUAUAUUUAAAUGAUACUAUUAAAUGACUGCACGAAAGACAUAACUUGCUCUCAUUAGCAGAGGCGGAGCUAGGAUUUGAAGUGUGUGAAUUCUAAAUUUUACGAAUCGAACCCCCAUCUUUCCCAACAAACCCACAACCCUUACCGUUGAACCAAGACCCCUUUUGUUACUGGGUUUGACAGUAUAUAUUUAUAUAGAUUUAGUAAAUAUUUCAAUACAAAUACAGUGUUCCGGAAAAAGUCACUGGUCUCGCCCGAACCCGCACCCCCUACUGUAGCCCCGCCCCUGCUCAUUAGUUUGAUGUAAACACGAGCUUAAAUAAAUUUUAUCUACAAUUACCUAUAUCAUGCUUCUUGAUAGUAUUUUGGCGACAUAACAAUAUUUAACUACGUAUUAAUUAAUCUCCAAAUUAGUAGUUAUAAAGAGCAAAUGCCUCAAGAGUAGAGUUGAUCAGUACUUACACUUGGCUGCCCAUAAGAACCUGGAGCCAGAUAAGUAAUGGGAUUGCCACAGAACCCAAUUUCUUCCUGUGGUCCAACCAAGUUGGUGAAGCAUACUGUUGUAUGUGAGAAUGCUCUCACAGUUACUAGUGUAGCUACCUAUCAAAAAUAAAAGUUGCAGCAUUAGGUUAAAUUUAUUUAUAACAAUUAAUAACUUUUCAUAGAAUGAUAUGGUAACUAAAAAGUUACGGUAAUAACCCGUAUAUAUAGCCGAUUAAAUUACACUAAUAGUAUAAAAUUCUUUAUACUUUCAACGUAUACAACCUCAACCAUAUAUUAAAGGAUUAAGCUUAUAUACACUGACGAUAGUUCAAAGGGUUUUUAUGCUAUGAGUGUAAUUUAAUUGAUUGUGAUAAGUUAUAUGCCUUAUUUUUUAAGAAAUUAGUUACACUUAUUAUGUAAAGUUAUAUACAACAAUAACAAUAACAACACAAUAAAAUUUUACUAAUGAGGUCUGGGUGUAAAGUUAUAUAUAGUUAUCUUUUAAUUAACUCGAAAAGAAUUCACUGGAUAGAAGUUCACUAAAUUUUGUUGAAUUUAAAUAUGCAUAUACCUUGGCACCAAAUAUCUUGACUAGUAAUUCAGCUAACAUCAGAGUGAACAAAGCUUCAAAUGUGCGUUUUUUGCGAUCUACUGUUGCCUUUGCUUCUUUAACAUAAUCUAAAGGAUCAUCACGCAAUGCAAUCUUGAAAGGUAAGAGCACAUAACCAAACCAAUUUCCCCAACCUCCCUUUUGUUUUGUGCCCUUCUCCGUCAUAUCAGCUAAAUCCUGUUUCAUUCAUGUCAUUAUACGACUUCACAAUAAUAAUAAUAAUAAUAAUAAUAAUAACAACAACAACAAUAACAGAAUAAAGGUUACUUCAAUUCCUGCAGAGGGUCUUAGGUUUAUAAUAAGACAUGAUCGUAGUCGAAUGUCCUUGGGAAGAUUGUUGUUUCUCUCAGUGGCUCCCUUAUCUUCCUUACCAACGGCUGUAAAUAGUCGGGAAAAUUGUGAAAAUCAGAGACGAAUGUAACGUAUAAUAAACAGGUUUAGUUGAACCCAAUAUUUUUUAUAUGGAACAAAGCAAAUUGGUGAAUGUUACUAAAAUUUUAACAAAUAUUAAAAUUAGAACCUUGCGGAAAUGUUUGGGUUCCAUCAUGAGAACAUAAAAAUUAAAUCAAAAAGUUUAAAUAUUGAAUUUGUGACUAAAUAACAUACCAUAUCUCCUGUUGAGAUAUUUAGAUAAACCAGCUUGUGUUAUUCCCAGGGCAACAUCAUUUAUAGUCUGUGGAGAAAAUGCAUGCAACAAUAUCAGUUAACUUUAACAACAAAUAUAUAUCAACUUUAUUCAUUUAUAAUGUCCAAAUUGCUUACCACAUUCAUAGCAUUUUUCACCAACUUCAAAUCAUCCAAAUUGAUUAUCCUGUGAACUAUUCGUCUCCCGUUAGACGCAGAAUUAGGCGGAGCCGCCAUUGGAGUUUUUGUAUCCUUAAAAAAGAUGACUGUGGCUAUGAACAUCAAAAGAUCCACCAUAGUAUUGAGUAUCAUGUUGAUGAAAAGCCAAAAUUUUCCCAAAUACUGCCAUAACUUGAACGACCUUUCCUUUUCUGAAUAACCUGCGAAAGAGUAGGCCUCCUUUUCUGUUAGGGGUCGUUUGGCAAGGUGUAUAAAUAUAGUACUAAACAUGGUGUAUUAGUAUUGCUGGAUUAGUUAUGGUGAGAUUAUUUUUUAUCCACUAUUUGGUUUGGUAUAUUAAAAAAAACAUGCAUUGCAUAGGGGUAUAUACAUGCUUAUCCAUGUGCUAAAACUAUGAUAUUACUAAUGCCAUGAUUUGCUAUGUAUUAAUUAUACAUAGGAUAAUACCAAAUAGAGUAUAUAACUAAUACAUGUAUUAGUUAAACAUAAGUUGAAAAACACUACCAAAGUAAGGGAUUAAUAAUACCAAAGCUAAUAUAUGUAUUAUUGUUUCCUAAUACAUCUUACCAAACGACCCCUUAGUACUUACGACACUAAUAGUGUAAAAGUAUUUCUUUUGUUAGUGUACAUAUUUUAGAUAAGAAAAUGAAAGUGGCAAAAUCAAUUCAUUUCUUAAUAACUUGCCCAAUUUUUAAACGAGUUCGGUUAUUAUCCGUUUGUUUACUUGAUCCAACAAGUUGAAUCCAAAAUGACCCGUUAAACAUUUGGGUCAAGAUGGAAUAAAUAAGGUAAACCCGACAAGUCAAAAUGCAAUCCAAACCUAAACAUACAAAAUCAAAGGUUUUUUUUUUUUUUGGGAAAAGGCAAAAUAAAAAAGAAUGACAGGUAGAGCAGGUUGAAUUAUAUGACAAGUGAUUUGAUCCAAUUCUUGUUAACUUAUUCAAACUGAAUAAAGUUAUAACUCAUUUGUUGAUUUGACUUGCUAGUUGCUAAGAUAUAAUAACCCAACUCGACCAUAUGUCACUUCAAAAAAAUAUCAUAAUUAAAGUAAUGAAGAAACCUGAAGGAGUAGGCCUCCGUUUCUUGGUUGGAAUAGUAGGAAGCUUGAGAUGAUCAGCAGUUUGGCGAGUACACGCGAGUAAAAGAGAAAUAAGAGAGGUGCCAUCACCAAGAGAAUGGUGAACUCGGAGCAAUGCUACGGACUCUGCAUCGCCAGUUUUGACAUUGAUAAUGUGAAGGUCCCAAAGUGGCUUCGAUUUGUCAAGGUUGGUUUUGCUAAGGUUGUAAAUAUAAUCCUCCACGAACUUUUCUGAUGAUUCGGUCAGUUGACCUUCGUCCACUUCUAGUACUAUAACAUGUUGCUCCAAAUCAACUUUUGUUUGCACCCAUUUCAUGCCUGCUGAAUUAUUUUCAUCCACAACCUGUACAUAAAAUUUGUUACUACUACUUAGUAUACAUUUUAAGUGUGUAUAUGUUUACUUAGCUUGCAGCAUGUGUACACACUUCCUUCUAUGAUCAUCUCGGUAGAUUAAAACAGGUUGAAUUAAUAAAUGAGUUGGAUCAUAGUCUAUCAAAAAAUUUCUUUGGUCAAAAUGGGGAGUCAAUUUAAGAUAAACGAUGCGUCAUAACCUAACUUACUCAACUCAAAAUUAUUUUUAUUUGUUAUUUUGUUCUUUUGUAAUUUAUUUAAUCACCACAUCAAAUUAACUAAACUUUUUCUUUUAUAUGAAAAUAAAAAAAGGCAAAUAUCAUUUUUAGCCCGCGACAAAAAUUAUUUACAUUUCUUAACCGCAAAAGUGUAUAAAAUUUAUAUGUUUUUUGUAUAUAAAAUAUACAAAUGUAUAUACGUACAAAAAAUAUAUAUUUUUCGACUAUUAUUAUGAGCGCGGCUAUGCAGUGUCAUUUUCUCAAUAAAAUAAAAAAAAUUUGCUCAAAACUGGCUAAGCUUUUUCGUUCUAUAACCAACCAGACCCAAAAAAAUUAAAAUUUUAAUAAUUUUUUGUAGAUAAACUAGAUUGAUGAUUGCCCAAAUUGGCCCAACUUUGAAUUGGAUUUACUUUGGUUAUGUAGUAAACACUCCAAAAUAUAGAACCAUAUGUUAGUCCUUUGAGAAAAGGACCUACAUAAGGAUGCAUUACCCAAUUAUUGCGGUACCAAGCACAAGCACUUUAAAUACGACAUAUUUUGGUGUAAAACAGAUACCACUAAUUUUAGCAAUAUAUUGGAAAUAAAAACCAAUUAGUACAAUACGUAAGGACUGGGAAAUGAGGAAGCAUACA